AGUUGUUUCUUGCCAGACAGAAUGCUAUCGAACUAAAUUUUCUUUAACCAUCUUAAAAUCUAUUUCUUUAUCUGGUGAUAGUGGGUGCCAUUAGGACAGGAUCUCCUUCUUAACAGCCUGGAACUAUGCUGGUCCUGG
Molecule: long non-coding RNA, 138 nt
Organism: Chelonia mydas (Green sea turtle)
Lineage: Eukaryota; Metazoa; Chordata; Testudines; Cheloniidae
Exons: 4
Source: RefSeq, a predicted model, not a curated record